GCGAAGCCGGGAAAACAAGUUUACCAAACAAUUCGAACGUACGGAAAAAAAAACAUUCCCCCGAAUAUCUUACGAUUCAGUUACGUCAUAGAUAUAGGAUUUUAUUGAUCCGCUAAUCUCGAAUAUUCCUCAAAUAUGCGAUAUCCUUUAUUUUUUCAUAAUACCACACCGCUGGUAUACGAAGAAAAUCAAAAUCUAGUAGAUUCUACAAUAUAGAGCACACAUUCCAUCGAUGUGAAAGUUAUUCAGACAAGUUUCAGAGUAAUGACGGUUUUCGUAACAAAAUAUUGAUUUCGUAAUGCCAUCAAGAAUUCACGGUUUUUUCUUUCUAUCAUAAGGUCAAUAUGAGGAAAAAUAAAAUUUCAGCUACAUUUAAGUCACCAUCCGGAAAAAUCCUCGUUAUCAACUGUACAAAAAGACGACGAAGUUUCAUUUGGUUCCAAGCCUUCGCGUCGUACGCCUGUCACGUCUGGACAUUUUAAGCAGCAGCAAUUAAAUUCGAUACUAGUGUUUACUGUAAAAUAGUACACACAAGUCAUGUUUGAGUAUCGGCUAAAAUUAUCGAAGAAAAACUAUGCAGUCGCUUUUUGGAAUUCGACCCAAUACUAAAACUCGAAAAUAAAAAAUCUGUUUCGAAAGACCGAAAAGUUACGCGAUAAUUUGUGUACAAAAAAAUGUUUGGUUAAAAAUAUCGAUUCUUUCUUCGAACGAUGACUCACAAGGAGAGAAAAAAGAAUUACGAUCGCGUUAUACGAAAAACGAAAAUUUACGUAGUAUUUAAUCCCCAUAUUCUGCUGGAAAAACAGUAGAAAUCCCUGCAUUUUGAAUGCCCGAAGCAAGAAAACAAACGUAUGUGAAAGAUAGCCCCGAGCAAAGUCCAUAGUUGAUGUGUUUCGUUGCAGCAAUGCGUGCUCGGAUCGCAUCAUACUUCUCAGUUGUCAAUAGCAGAAAGGAACAAUUUUUGACUAUUUGUAUGCACGAAAAAUUCGUAAUUUCAAGUUUUUGUUAUAAAUUU
This is a long non-coding RNA of Venturia canescens, 1015 nucleotides long. RefSeq lists it as uncharacterized. The record is from RefSeq and is a predicted model, not a curated record. The transcript is spliced from 2 exons. NCBI's taxonomy places the organism in Eukaryota, Metazoa, Arthropoda, Insecta, Hymenoptera, Ichneumonidae.